AUUCCUACGGGAGGCAGCAGUGGGGGAUAUUGCACAAUGGAGGAAACUCUGAUGCAGCAACGCCGCGUGAAGGAUGAAGGUCUUCGGAUUGUAAACUUUUGUACUUGGGGACGAUAAUGACGGUACCCAAGCAGCAAGCUCCGGCUAACUACGUGCCAGCAGCCGCGGUAAUACGUAGGGAGCAAGCGUUGUCCGGAUUUACUGGGUGUAAAGGGUGCGUAGGCGGCUAUGCAAGUCAGUUGUGAAAACUAUGGGCUCAACCCAUAGCCUGCAAUUGAAACUGCGUGGCUUGAGUGAAGUAGAGGUAGGUGGAAUUCCCGGUGUAGCGGUGAAAUGCGUAGAGAUCGGGAGGAACACCAGUGGCGAAGGCGACCUACUGGGCUUUAACUGACGCUGAGGCACGAAAGCAUGGGUAGCAAACAGGAUUAGAUACCCUGGUAGUCCAUGCCGUAAACGAUGAUUACUAGGUGUGGGGGGUCUGACCCCCUCCGUGCCGGAGUUAACACAAUAAGUAAUCCACCUGGGGAGUACGACCGCAAGGUUGAAACUCAAAGGAAUUGACGGAAU
RNAcentral lists this ribosomal RNA (567 nucleotides) under uncultured bacterium. Its description in RNAcentral is "bacterial SSU rRNA". It matches the Rfam family "Bacterial small subunit ribosomal RNA", at positions 335 to 919 of the family's 1533-position model. The record is from RNAcentral.